UCCCUUACACACAUGAGAGAGAGGGAGGAGCCGGCAGCAGAACUCGACACAAGUUCGCCUGAUCGGUGGUCGGGGAAUUGGUGGUGUGUAUGUGGGCUCUGUGAAGUAAUGGCCACCGAAACCAAGUGUUUGUGCUGCCUGGAAUGGGACCUUCAUCGUGAUCAAGAAUCCCAAGCACGGUGUGUUACAUUUCCCCUCCCUUAUAAAUCGGACAGUGCUACAAACUUUUUUACCAUGUCCCCCAAAUCAACCGGAAGCGGCAACCAACUCCAGCAGGACCAGACGGACAGCUAUCCGACAAUAUCCUUUCAGUGCAAGUAAGGGGACACUAUUGGGAAAUUAUGAAGCUAUAAAAGACAAGAAAACAAACCCAAUCAAGUCUCCCUAUCCUUGCCGCCCCUGAUUGGAUCAUGAUGUGCGAUGCAGAAAUGCAGGGAGCGGAGGGAACAGAUGGUGUGUAGCUGCUUGACUCCGACUGCGCCGGUUGCUGACACUUUCCAUCUGAAGGUUUUUUCCAUCUUUGGGGAGGAGUGUUGAUGACAUGACAUGUUCAGUGUCAGUUGCAGAGGUUUAAGAGAGGCUUCCAGAUGGAGGGUCUGGCGUUGACGUUGAGGAGACAUGACUCCAUAUGGAUUCUGUGCGUCACUCCUGCCCAUCCUUGUAUAUGGGUUCAAUGUGAGAUCAUCCACCAGUCACAUCAAGACUUGGGCAUAAGAGUCAAGCAGAAGAAAAAUGUUUUCUCUCUCCAGACAGUAUUAAAGAAUACUCCACAGACACACACAUUCAGUUUCAUAAAUCUUUGCAAGUAGAGCUGUUGAUACAGAUGCAGUACAGAACAGUAGGUCCCACACUGAAUCACUUCCUGCACCUCGUGAACGGCUCAGUUUCUGUUCACGGUGCCAAAUAUUUGAGAUGUAGAUUGGUACACACCACUCCAACUGUCACAGACAGACUGCCAAAGCUGGUUUGAUCAUUUUCUUAGAAAUAAACAGAACAUAAUGAUGUUACACCCACAUAAAAAACACAGACAUAGCACAGAUACAGACACACCCACACACCCACGCAGACGCUGUUAAGUCCUGUGUAACACCCGUAACAUAUUCUCACCAUUUGCAAUAUUCUCUUAAGUAAACAGAAUCACAGAACAAUAAAGAGAGAAUUUCAUGACAGCGGCAUCUGUUUCUUGUUUUGGACAAAAUGUAAAACCCAUUAAAACUAAUCUUCCAGACAUUUGCAUAAGGGAAUUUGAAUUAAACAAUCAAGCUCAUGGGAUGGCAGGUAAAUCACAGUUGGGUUCAAAGGAGUACAUUUAAGAUUUUACUUAGAUGAAAUAUUUCUACAUGAGAUUUCAAACUCACUUGGGGAUUAAGUUUUGUGUCCCUUCGAAUAAAUAAAGACCUUCCCACAAGGAUUUGAUGCAGACAAUGCACAAAUUGGUUCUUAAAAAAAAUAAAAUAAAAUAAGGAUAAGGGAUUGAUGCUCAAAGUUUUCUGUCCCCCCGUGUUGAAACGAAACCUACGUCCUUUGUUGUAGGAUUAUGCAGUGAAUAAUGAGCAGGCUCAAAGAAAGUCUGCUGGAUCUGUGAUGCUGAAGGAAAAUAUGCAGGAUUCAGCUCAAUGUUUCUUUACCCAUCUUCAUUUAAAAUAACAAAGAUUGUUUUUGAACAAAGUAAGUAAACAUAAUACAUUAAAACAACCUAAAAUGAUCCCAGAUAUUUAGUUAAAUAAGUUCAAUUUACUCAAGUACUGUUC
This 1751-nucleotide long non-coding RNA is filed under the name Sparus aurata (gilthead seabream). RNAcentral's name for it is "lncRNA (ENSSAUG00010002241.1)". The record is from RNAcentral. Lineage: Eukaryota; Metazoa; Chordata; Actinopteri; Spariformes; Sparidae.